Molecule: ribosomal RNA, 376 nt
Filed under: uncultured bacterium
Lineage: Bacteria
Also listed under: 1 other name
Description: bacterial SSU rRNA
Rfam family: Bacterial small subunit ribosomal RNA
Source: RNAcentral
UACGUAGGUGGCGAGCGUUGUCCGGAAUUACUGGGCGUAAAGGGCGCGUAGGCGGCCUGUUAAGUCAGAUGUGAAACCCCCAGGCUCAACUUGGGGAUUGCAUAUGAAACUGAUGGGCUCGAGUGUCGGAGAGGAAAGCGGAAUUCCUAGUGUAGCGGUGAAAUGCGUAGAUAUUAGGAGGAACACCAGUGGCGAAGGCGGCUUUCUGGACGAUAACUGACGCUGAGGCGCGAAAGCGUGGGGAGCAAACAGGAUUAGAUACCCUGGUAGUCCACGCUGUAAACUAUGGAUACUAGGUGUGGGAGGUAUCGACCCCUUCCGUGCCGCAGUAAACGCAAUAAGUAUCCCGCCUGGGGAGUACGGCCGCAAGGUUGAA